GACGAGGUGGCCGAGUGGUUAAGGCGUUGGACUGCUAAUCCAAUGGAGUCUCCCCGCGUGAGUUCGAAUCUCAUCCUCGUCG
RNAcentral lists this transfer RNA (82 nucleotides) under Amphibalanus amphitrite. RNAcentral describes it as "tRNA-Ser". It matches the Rfam family "tRNA". Rfam says of the family: Transfer RNA (tRNA) molecules are approximately 80 nucleotides in length. Their secondary structure includes four short double-helical elements and three loops (D, anti-codon, and T loops). Further hydrogen bonds mediate the characteristic L-shaped molecular structure. tRNAs have two regions of fundamental functional importance: the anti-codon, which is responsible for specific mRNA codon recognition, and the 3' end, to which the tRNAs corresponding amino acid is attached (by aminoacyl-tRNA synthetases). tRNAs cope with the degeneracy of the genetic code in two manners: having more than one tRNA (with a specific anti-codon) for a particular amino acid; and 'wobble' base-pairing, i.e. permitting non-standard base-pairing at the 3rd anti-codon position. The record is from RNAcentral. Lineage: Eukaryota; Metazoa; Arthropoda; Thecostraca; Balanomorpha; Balanidae.